GCAGCCGCGGUAAUACGUAGGGGGCAAGCGUUAUCCGGAUUUACUGGGUGUAAAGGGAGCGUAGACGGACAUGCAAGUCUGAUGUGAAAACCCGGGGCUCAACCCCGGGACUGCAUUGGAAACUGCGUAUCUAGAGUGCCGGAGGGGUAAGUGGAAUUCCUAGUGUAGCGGUGAAAUGCGUAGAUAUUAGGAGGAACACCAGUGGCGAAGGCGGCUUACUGGACGGUAACUGACGUUGAGGCUCGAAAGCGUGGGGAGCAAACAGGAUUAGAUACCCC
Molecule: ribosomal RNA, 278 nt
Filed under: uncultured Alistipes sp.
Lineage: Bacteria; Pseudomonadati; Bacteroidota; Bacteroidia; Bacteroidales; Rikenellaceae
Description: partial 16S ribosomal RNA
Rfam family: Bacterial small subunit ribosomal RNA
Source: RNAcentral